This 482-nucleotide ribosomal RNA is filed under the name uncultured bacterium. RNAcentral describes it as "partial 16S ribosomal RNA". It matches the Rfam family "Bacterial small subunit ribosomal RNA", at positions 30 to 507 of the family's 1533-position model. The record is from RNAcentral.
AUUGAACGCUGGCGGCAUGCUUUACACAUGCAAGUCGAACGGUAACAGGCCGCAAGGUGCUGACGAGUGGCGAACGGGUGAGUAAUGCAUCGGAACGUGCCCAGUCGUGGGGGAUAACUACUCGAAAGAGUAGCUAAUACCUCAUACGAUCUAUGGAUGAAAGCGGGGGACCGUAAGGCCUCGCGCGAUUGGAGCGGCCGAUGUCAGAUUAGGUAGUUGGUGGGGUAAAGGCUCACCAAGCCAACGAUCUGUAGCUGGUCUGAGAGGACAACCAGCCACACUGGGACUGAGACACGGCCCAGACUCCUACGGGAGGCAGCAGUGGGGAAUUUUGGACAAUGGGCGCAAGCCUGAUCCAGCAAUGCCGCGUGCAGGAAGAAGGCCUUCGGGUUGUAAACUGCUUUUGUACGGAACGAAACGGCUCUGGUUAAUACCCGGGGCUAAUGACGGUACCGUAAGAAUAAGCACCGGCUAACUACGUG